Molecule: ribosomal RNA, 263 nt
Filed under: uncultured archaeon
Lineage: Archaea
Description: partial 16S ribosomal RNA
Rfam family: Archaeal small subunit ribosomal RNA
Source: RNAcentral
UAGCCGUAAACGAUACUCGCUAGGUGUCGGCCACGGUGCGACCGUUGUCGGUGCCGUAGGGAAGCCGUGAAGCGAGCCACCUGGGAAGUACGGCCGCAAGGCUGAAACUUAAAGGAAUUGGCGGGGGAGGCACAACAACGGGUGGAGCUUGCGGUUUAAUUUGGAUUCAACGCCGGAAAUCUUACCGGGACCGACAGCAACAUGAAGGCCAAGCUGAAGACUUUGCCGGAUUAGCUGAGAGGAGGUGCAUGGCGUAGACGUCU